UCUGGCCCUCAGAGACACCGGAUGAUUGGAGUAGCUUCCAGCCACCACAUCUGGUUCUCCUCUUGCACUCCAGGAAGAACCGAGGUGGUCAGAUUUGCCCUGGCUCAGCACGUGGGACUCUCCAGCAGGAGUACAUAGUAAUGCAGCCAGCGCAUGCAGUGAAGGUGACUCCUCAUGGCCAAGGGCAGACCGGGUGACCAAGCAGUGCAGAAGGGGGGCUGCAAGGAAACAAGUGCAUCUUGCCUCAUCUGUCUAGGCACCAUAUUAUUGCUUAUGGGGACAUCAGCACUGGGAUCCUGGGGAUGUUCUAGCGGAGAAGUUUUACUGAAUGUGGCUGAAUCUGUCUCAUGCGUAUGUGAAAGGGACAGAUAUGAACUUUCUGCUCUCCAUAUCAUAUUGACUUUCUGGAGCUUCCUCUGUACAGGAAAUGUCAGCAGAGUGGCCACAAACUGUGUCUUUCACAAAAGUGUAACAGUGCUUUCCACAUCCUGGUUUUAAUUUGGCAUGACUGGGAGAAAAGAAGAAACGUUUUCCUUUCCCUUCCUCUUGGCUCUUGAUAUCGUGAUGUGGUCAGGGCCACCAUGGUCACUCUCUGACCCGAGGGUUCUGGGAUGGACGCAGACCCUGAGCUGCACACAGCCUCCCUCCCUCCAUGGGAUGGGGCAGUGUGGUCAGGAGGAGGCAGUGCAGCAGGUGCCAGCAGCUUGGGCCGUCCAUAACUCUGUUAUGCUCCUAUACAUUCAACCUUCAUUGCUCCAAACCAAACAGACCGGUGUCCUCAGCCCCAGAAUGAGGUCUCCAGCUGUGCACAUCACAGCCUCUGGCACCCUGGGGGACUCCUUCAGAGCUUCCUGGAGACCCAGAUCCAAGAAACAAAGAGAAGAGGCAACUUUCUCUCCUGCUCCUGGCUCUGCCAAGUUAACAGGAUAUUUUUGCUGGAGAGCUGCACUAGUCUGGACUGCUGACACUUUCCUGGGAUUUCUGUGGGGCUGGAGAGGGACAAUUUCACUCCCUGGGAAGGUGCUGGUCACAGCUAUUUUGCCAGGCCCCGAAGCCAAGCAGUGAGUCUGCUUGGCAUGAAGCCCUGGAGAGAUCUCCUGAAGCUCAGCACCCACCCACAUCCCCAGCAAGUCCAGAGAAGCCUUCCAGGCUCUGAGAAAGCCUCAAAGCCCCUGAACCUUGGCUGGUCCCACAGCACUAAUGUUGCAUAAACUUCUAAUGAGGUAUGGUGUCGCGUUCUCCGUGUCCUGUCUGCUUUUUGUCUCGGAUGAGCCAGGCAGCCAGCAGAUCACCUGCACCCAGCCAUGUGCACUCCUCCUCCUCCUCCUCUCCCUCCUCCUUCUCCUUGCCCUCUGCUGCCCUCCCUCCCUCCAUGCUUUGCCCUGAGGGUGAAAUGCCUCCUCCCUGCCUUGGAGCCCCGUUCUCUCCCUGCCCAUCUGAGUCUCCUGCAAGCCAGGAGCCUUUGCAGCUGCUUCCAAGGACAGGAAAGCAGAGAGCUCCCCGCUGCUGCUGGCUGUCACUCUGCAAAACCCCGAGCCAGCAGCCGCUCGGAGAAGGAGCGCUGCCAUUGCAGUCAGCAGCCAGAGGGUCAAAUCCUUCCAGGAAAAUGUAAUCACUUCCAAUGAGCAGAAAAGCAAUUUAGACGAGAGCUUUGUGGCUAGAGAUUACAGAGCCCAGAGGCCAUGUGUGUUCAGCAGCUCUCCCCAGCCUGGAAGGGAGCGGGGAAGCUGGCAGCUCCCCCCGUCCUGCUGCUCGCCUGGAGCUGCUCCAUGCCAGGAGAUGAACGCGGACCUUCCCCUGCUGGCUCCAACGAUCCAGGCUGCGUGCAGACCCGCUGUCCCUCAGCAUCCCUUGGAUCCCCAUCCCCAGCCUGGCUCCCAGCCAAGAUCUGGGGCUGGAGACCAAGGGGGGAGGCCUGGGUCUGUGCAGCUCCUAAAAGAGCAGCGAAAGUUGUCAGACGAAGCGUUCAGCCAGAGACACCUUCACACGACCUCUGUGCUUUGGGCUCACUGCCCGGCUCUGGCAGCCCCAUGCCCCACAUACAAGAUGUGAUGAGCUGGGCCAUUGUCCCACCUGAAAAAAAGAAAAAGAAAAAAGAGCUCACACCACACGGGCUCACACAAACCAAAGGACCAGCAGCACAGAGGAGCACCUCACACCUGGCAAUGGGGCCAGUGGGUUCUCAGUACCCAAUAUUUUGUGACCGGCUGCUUCAAACAACUUUCUUAUGACCUUACAUGUUGAAGCCACCAUCUGACUCAGCCCCCCAAGCCCUGGACCAGCCGUAGGGUUACCACUGCCGCCGGCUGCCCCCCAUGUGCCGUGGGGUCAUUCCCUCUUUAGCACAGCACGCUCUGCUCAGGAUGGGGUCAGCAGCCAACGGGACCACCUGGAUGGUCCCAUUCUGGGGAGCUGCGGUCAAUGUGUACCAUCAGAGCUGUUUGCACAUCGCUGUCAGCUGCAGUCACCCUGACUCAGCUGCUCCAGUCCCUCUGCUGUACACCUGGAAAAGGUUUGCAAAGCUUUUGCGCUGCGGGCUGAGAGGUGAGCCCAGCUCGCACGGAAGAGUCUGCAUUUGUUCUGUGUCAUCCUGGGCCGAGGUGAGAGGAAGUGUUCGAGUCUCAGAUUACACAAAGGCUUUCAGCUUGUCCUGAAAAGUCAAAAACUUAGAUACUUAGGAGCCAGGUCUCCCUUCCAAGUCUGAUUUCGAAGUAUUUAUCUUUUUGAAAUGUUUAAGUAUAAUUAGCUUAAAUUUCAAAACAAAGGGUCAUCUGAAAUGGAAAAUAGAUUUUUUUUUUAUCCCUUAAGAAUGUCAAAACACUUCAUUUUGAUAAAUUUAGAACUCCUUCCAGAUUUUUUCUGACUCAAUAAAUUAAUCAAACCCGACCUUUUCUUAAAAUAAGUGUUGGUUUUGAAAAAAAAAAUCAACAUUUUCCAGUGGAAAAAUAUACAAUUCAUCCAAAAAUUCUUACCAUGUUUCCAUCCUGACUUCUUGUCAUGUGUCUCUCCUAUGCUGCUUUCCCAGUAACUAUAAUCCUGGCUGGAUUAAUUAAAGUGGGCAAGGAGACAAAGUCAGGAACAGCUCCAGCCUGAGCAAGAAAUUUUCUUUUCAGGCUCAGAGAUAUGUUGAGAACAUUUCUUUUUGCUUUAUUUCUACAAGUCUGAGGCUGAGCAGACUUCAAGGUGCAGUGUCCACAGGGAGCAUUUUCUUUGCUGUGACCUGUGACCCUUGAAAUCCCCACCUUUCCUCCCAGUGCUCAUUCUCUCUUUAUUUGCAUUUCCCCUAAAAACAAGCUUCAGCUACUGAGCCUAUAAACACAAAUUUAUUGUUGAGACAAUCCAGGAGAUGCUUAAAGAAAAUCCUGACACCUCCUUGAGAUUUAACUUGAGAAGUUCAGCUGGGAUGAGACACUGAUCCAAGAUGAACAUGUGUGCAUCUGGAGCAACUUCAGUGGUGGAGUCCACAGACAAGCUCUGGUUUCUGCAGUAUUUAUUUACACCAAAGAGACUGACACAGAAAUUAGGCCGCUGAAACGAGCCAGAAAAAACUCUGUGGCAAGCUCUGUGCAAAGCCAUUGACAAAACAAGCUGGAAAGGGGUCAGAGAGACGGUGUGGCACUGGGUGACCUUUGGUCUUGGUGAUUUAUCUCUUGUGGCAUCUUCCUGCUCCACAGAGCAGCACAGUGCAGGCAGAUCCAAAGGGAGGUGAUUAAAGCUGCCCUGUGCUAGUGCCAGCGUGCUACCUAGGGAAUGCUGCCCAGGCCAGCACCCCUCCCAGACACACCUUGCGUGCAAGCAGCUCUUUCCUAUGGAGCAAGGUGUCCUCAGCCAGUCUUCCCACAGGGCAGGAACCUCCUCCAACCUGCACUGUGGGAUGGCCCCAACUGGAUCCAGGCAAAGCCGCACUGGGGCUGGACCAACAAUUUCACCUGCUGGGCUGGGAGGAUCAGCGCUGCAGCCCCUCUUUGUUUUACCUGCACAAACUGUGUGACCACAGAAGUUUGUGGCAGCUGGGCUGAGGUUUUAUGGUUGCCAGUGGCACUGAAACAUGAGAUUUAUUUCCUCUGUGAAUCCAGUGCCCAGCACUAGCUGGAGUGGGAUGACAGUGAUUUACUACGAGUGUACGCCUGUUCCCGCUGCCCACAGUGCUAACAUAACACUGACACAAGCCCCGUAACUUCUGUGAGUGCCUUAGGACUGCUCUGGGUGUAUGCAGCACGGCUGGGGUGGCAAGAAGCAAGGUGCAAGGUUCAGCUGCACUGCCCCAGGGAGGACCAUGGGCCUGAUCCUGCUCUCAGGCAGACAACGCUCCACCACCAGCCUGGACAGACAACUUGUUUUCCCUGGGCAUGAGAAGAGAGCAAGGGCCAAGUGCUUCGCUGGGAUUCAUGACCAAUUUGCUGACGCCUGCGAGGUGCUGGCCAGGACAAUGGCGGAGAGCUGCAAACUGCCUGGCCCCAUGGCACGGGGCCACUGGGUCCCCUGGGACCACAGGCAGCAGGUCCCCAGGCCAAAGGGGACUUGUGUGCUGUGGACCUCUGCCCCCGAGACUGCCACCUGUCAGCGCUGUAAAUGAACCCCCUGGUGCAAACAAGCCCAAAUUCCCAGCGGGCUCCCACCUUCGCCCGUCUCCUCCAAUCAGCUCCCCGAAACACACAUCCUGACACAGCCACCACGCACAGCACCUUUGAAUGAAGUUGCCAUAGUUACUGGUGCCUCACAGCAGCAGGCUGAGCUCAUUAAAAUGAUUUGAAUGGCUACCCUAUAAUCAAGGCGCUCAGGGAGGGGAGGUCUGGCGGGGAGGAGGGCCCUGGGACGUGACGGGGGCAUGGGCUGGGAGCAGCUCCAGAGAUCGUGGUGCACCCAGAGUGGCUCAGGGAGAGGCAUGGGGACAGUGUGGGGCUGGGGCAGGUGUGUGCUCACACCUUGUGCUGUCCCCUCUUGGAGAAGGAGGAGGGCGUUGGGGUCUCCUUCCCUGCAGGGACCCCCGGUGCUGCUGAGGCUGCAGGCAAGCAUUCCCCCAUCAUGUCCACACACACUCCGUGUGAUGGUUUCCCACAAUCUGGGGUAGCCCGGGAGGCAGUGCUGGGGGUCUGGAAUCAAGAGUAGCUCGAGACAUAAGCCAGAUCUUUCAAAAUAUACCUUUCAAUAAAUAUUUUACAAAUUACUGUUUAAGAAAACAAAAAAAAAAAAUUAAAAAAAUAAAAAACACAUUAUUGGAUUCACCCAAAA
This is a non-coding RNA of Anas platyrhynchos (mallard), 5232 nucleotides long. Lineage: Eukaryota; Metazoa; Chordata; Aves; Anseriformes; Anatidae. The record is from RefSeq and is a predicted model, not a curated record.